This 440-nucleotide ribosomal RNA is filed under the name uncultured bacterium. RNAcentral describes it as "partial 16S ribosomal RNA". It matches the Rfam family "Bacterial small subunit ribosomal RNA", at positions 338 to 795 of the family's 1533-position model. The record is from RNAcentral.
CCUACGGGUGGCAGCAGUGGGGGAUAUUGCACAAUGGGGGAAACCCUGAUGCAGCGACGCCGCGUGGGUGAAGAAGCGCCUCGGCGCGUAAAGCCCUGUCAGCAGGGAAGAAAAUGACGGUACCUGAAGAAGAAGCCCCGGCUAACUACGUGCCAGCAGCCGCGGUAAUACGUAGGGGGCAAGCGUUAUCCGGAUUUACGGGGUGUAAAGGGGGCGCAGACGGCGAUGCAAGCCAGGAGUGAAAGCCCGGGGCCCAACACCGGGACUGCGCCUGGAACUACGUGGCUAGAGUGCAGGAGGGGCAGGCGGAAUGCCUGGUGUAGCGGUGAAAUGCGUAGAGAUCAGGAGGAACACCGGUGGCGAAGGCGGCCUGCUGGACUGCAACUGACGUUGAGGCCCGAAAGCGUGGGGAGCAAACAGGAGUAGAUACCCCGGUAGUC